UCAAACCUUUAUCUAGUCUCUUCUCACAUUCUCACCGAGUCCCGCUCUUCAUUGAACCAGAACCUUGAGAAUGAAGUCCUCAGUUCACCGAGUCCGUGAUCCGAGUCCAAGACGAAGAUAACAAUAUAUUGAUUCCAUCGAUCACUUCAACUUGUCCGCACUAACUUGAUGAUUGAAGUCUGGUCAAUGCUGGGUGCAAUGGUGAAAGGUCAAGGUGACAGGCAUGAGGCUGUGGGUUUGAGUCUAAAAACAGCCAGUUUGUGCAAAAUUAUGCCGAAUGUUUGAAGCAAUUGAAGAACUCUGAAUAGUGCCACUAUUGUCACAAUGAAAAGGUGGUCGGUGUACUAUAUCCACUAUUUUCCUCCCCACCGUCCUGCUUAGGAGGGCCAUGGACUGGGUAAUGCACUUCAAUUUUAAUUUUAAAUUAGCUGGAAGGUGACAACAUUGGGUAAUUCAAGGUUAUGGCAAUUUGACAGCGUUUAUGCGGAUAGGUGCCAGUGCUGCUCCUGCAGCAUUUUGCUCCACAGCAAUCAAUUUCUCCCUUGUUAUAACUUGGGUUUCAAUGCAGUAAUGAGGAUUCACUUCAAGGCGGCGUUGCUCGUGUUCUACAAACUAAACUCCAAAUGUUUAUUUUUUGUACGUAUGAAUCUUAGCAACUAGAUUAAUCGACAUUAUAAAUGUAGACUUGUAGUGUCUUAGAAACUAGAAAAUUUUGUGAGAUUUUUAGCUCUUUGUGAGACUAUCUCUAUGCUUGUGGUCAACACUAAGUAGGGGUGGGACUUGGGUGGUCUAACUCGAGCAACCCGAGUCCCGUCUGAAAAUUUUACGACCAUGGGCAAGGUAUUUGAGAUCAUGAGAUUGGGAUCGAGUUUAAUUCUUAGGCCAUGUUUGGUGUGAGUGAAUGGAAUCAAAUGAAGCGGGAGUAGAAUGCUUUUGUUUCCA
Molecule: long non-coding RNA, 942 nt
Organism: Cornus florida
Lineage: Eukaryota; Viridiplantae; Streptophyta; Magnoliopsida; Cornales; Cornaceae
Exons: 2
Source: RefSeq, a predicted model, not a curated record